CUGGCAGUCAGAGGCGAUGAAGGACGUGCUAAUCUGCGAUAAGCGUCGGUAAGGUGAUAUGAACCGUUAUAACCGGCGAUUUCCGAAUGGGGAAACCCAGUGUGAUUCGUCACACUAUCAUUAACUGAAUCCAUAGGUUAAUGAGGCGAACCGGGGGAACUGAAACAUCUAAGUACCCCGAGGAAAAGAAAUCAACCGAGAUUCCCCCAGUAGCGGCGAGCGAACGGGGAGCAGCCCAGAGCCUGAAUCAGUGUGUGUGUUAGUGGAAGCGUCUGGAAAGGCGCGCGAUACAGGGUGACAGC
This 302-nucleotide ribosomal RNA is filed under the name Escherichia coli. Its description in RNAcentral is "partial 23S ribosomal RNA". It matches the Rfam family "Bacterial large subunit ribosomal RNA", at positions 34 to 371 of the family's 2925-position model. The record is from RNAcentral. Lineage: Bacteria; Pseudomonadati; Pseudomonadota; Gammaproteobacteria; Enterobacterales; Enterobacteriaceae.